This 637-nucleotide ribosomal RNA is filed under the name Notiophilus sierranus. Its description in RNAcentral is "partial large subunit ribosomal RNA". It matches the Rfam family "Bacterial large subunit ribosomal RNA", at positions 1819 to 2741 of the family's 2925-position model. The record is from RNAcentral. Lineage: Eukaryota; Metazoa; Arthropoda; Insecta; Coleoptera; Carabidae.
GUCCUUUUGAAUUUUAUAUAAGGUCUAGUCUGCCCACUGAAAUUUUGUUUUUAAGGGCCGCAGUAUAUUGACUGUGCAAAGGUAGCAUAAUCAUUAGUUUUUUAAUUAAAAGCUUGUAUGAAUGGCUGAAUGAGGUAAAAUCUGUCUCUAUUUAAAUUAAUUUAGAAUUUAAUUUUUAAGUUAAAAAGCUUAAAUUUUAUUAAAAGACGAGAAGACCCUAUAGAUCUUUAUAUUUGUUAUUAAUAAUAUAAUUAAGAAUUUUUAUAAUUUUUUAAUGAUAAAUAUUUUAUUGGGGUAAUAUGAAGAUUAAAAAAAUUCUUUUUUUUUAUAAACAUAAAUUUAUGAAUUUAUGAUCCAAUAUUAUUGAUUAUAAGAUUAAGUUACCUUAGGGAUAACAGCGUAAUUUUUUUAGAGAGUUCUUAUCGAUAAAAAAGUUUGCGACCUCGAUGUUGGAUUAAAGAUUAUUUCAGGUGUAGAAGUUUGAAAAUUUUGGUCUGUUCGACCAUUAAAUCUUUACAUGAUCUGAGUUCAGACCGGCGUAAGCCAGGUCGGUUUCUAUCUUUAAUAAAAAAUUAUAUUUUAGUACGAAAGGACCAAAUAUUUAAUAUAUUUAUAUUUAAUUUUUGAAUAUUAUUAA